Molecule: ribosomal RNA, 460 nt
Filed under: uncultured bacterium
Lineage: Bacteria
Description: partial 16S ribosomal RNA
Rfam family: Bacterial small subunit ribosomal RNA
Source: RNAcentral
CCUACGGGCGGCAGCAGUGAGGAAUAUUGGUCAAUGGGCGCGAGCCUGAACCAGCCAAGUAGCGUGAAGGAUGACUGCCCUACGGGUUGUAAACUUCUUUUAUAAAGGAAUAAAGUGAGGCACGUGUGCCUUUUUGUAUGUACUUUAUGAAUAAGGCACGGCUAACUCCGAGCCAGCAGCCGCGGUAAUACGGAGGAUCCGAGCGUUAUCCGGAUUGAUUGGGUUUAAAGGGAGAGUAGAUGGGUUGUUAAGUCAGUUGUGAAAGUUUGGGGCUCAACCGUAAAAUUGCAAUUGAUACUGGCAGUCUAGAGUACAGUUGAGGUAGGCGGAAUUCGUGGUGUAGCGGUGAAAUGCUUAGAUAUCACGAAGAACUCCGAUUGCGAAGGCAGCUUACUAAACUGCCACUGACAUUGAUGCUCGAAAGUGUGGGUAUCAAACAGGAUUAGAUACCCGAGUAGUC